GACGAACGCUGGCGGCGUGCUUAACACAUGCAAGUCGAGCGGUAAGGCCCUUUCGGGGGUACACGAGCGGCGAACGGGUGAGUAACACGUGGGUGACCUGCCCUCAGCUCUGGGAUAAGCCUGGGAAACCGGGUCUAAUACCGGAUAUGACUCCAUGACGCAUGUUGUGGGGUGGAAAGCCUUGUGCGGCUGAGGAUGGGCCCGCGGCCUAUCAGCUUGUUGGUGGGGUGAUGGCCUACCAAGGCGACGACGGGUAGCCGGCCUGAGAGGGCGACCGGCCACACUGGGACUGAGACGACGG
Molecule: ribosomal RNA, 301 nt
Filed under: uncultured bacterium
Lineage: Bacteria
Description: bacterial SSU rRNA
Rfam family: Bacterial small subunit ribosomal RNA
Source: RNAcentral